RNAcentral lists this ribosomal RNA (484 nucleotides) under uncultured bacterium. RNAcentral describes it as "partial 16S ribosomal RNA". It matches the Rfam family "Bacterial small subunit ribosomal RNA", at positions 30 to 507 of the family's 1533-position model. The record is from RNAcentral.
AUUGAACGCUGGCGGCAGGCCUAACACAUGCAAGUCGAGCGGAUGAAGGGAGCUUGCUCCUGGAUUCAGCGGCGGACGGGUGAGUAAUGCCUAGGAAUCUGCCUGGUAGUGGGGGAUAACGUCCGGAAACGGGCGCUAAUACCGCAUACGUCCUGAGGGAGAAAGUGGGGGAGCUUCGGACCUCACGCUAUCAGAUGAGCCUAGGUCGGAUUAGCUAGUUGGUGGGGUAAAGGCCUACCAAGGCGACGAUCCGUAACUGGUCUGAGAGGAUGAUCAGUCACACUGGAACUGAGACACGGUCCAGACUCCUACGGGAGGCAGCAGUGGGGAAUAUUGGACGAUGGGCGAAAGCCUGAUCCAGCCAUGCCGCGUGUGUGAAGAAGGUCUUCGGAUUGUAAAGCACUUUAAGUUGGGAGGAAGGGCAGUAAGUUAAUACCUUGCUGUUUUGACGUUACCAACAGAAUAAGCACCGGCUAACUUCGUG